RNAcentral lists this non-coding RNA (89 nucleotides) under unclassified sequences. The record is from RNAcentral.
CACUCACUGCCACCGGGUAGGAAAUGCUGUGAGCAUUCGACUGCACAUCGUUAGGUCUUAGAAGAUGUGCGGGCGGAUGCUUUCUUUUU